RNAcentral lists this long non-coding RNA (730 nucleotides) under Triticum aestivum (bread wheat). RNAcentral's name for it is "long non-coding RNA (TAES_LNC024110)". The record is from RNAcentral. Lineage: Eukaryota; Viridiplantae; Streptophyta; Magnoliopsida; Poales; Poaceae.
UGUAUCUCAAGAAUCCAUCAUGUCUACAAACAUACAUAGUUUCACAAGCCCAGUAUUACAGCACAACAAUCCUUCAUGUAUUCCACUAUUCCCAUGCACACAUAGGCAUACAUAUGUAGGUUCAUAGGUCCAGUAUUGCAUACGAGAGAAAAGCGCAAAAUACAACAUCUGGUUUCAGUUCGAAAAAGAUCCCAGCAGAAGAUCCUUUUAGCUCACAAAACACACCUCUUGAAAGUUGCGCAAGCAAAAGAAUUACACCGGUGACCUGUAAAAAAAGAAGCAGCCAAUUAGAUAAGCUCGAAAAAACACAUGUUCCACAAAUCCACUGCACAACUACUUGCAAGCAAGAGCAGGUCAGGAUUCCACAAGGCACACACAUAAUGUGUGUGCUUUACUCAUAAGAACAGAUAAGGCACAUGGUGAUCAUAGUCAAGGUUUUCACUUGGGAAAUCACCAAUAACUUACUUGGAUCAAGUUUUACUUUUUGAAUUUAAUACUCCCUCCGAUCCAAAUUAAUUGACGCAGCUAUAGUACAAAUUUGUAAUAACAUUUUACUAGAGUUGCAUCAAUUAAUCUGGAUCGGAGGGGUAGAAGUAGCAUACCAAUUCCAGUUAAGUAAAAAAUGCAUUUCUUUUGGAACUCACCUAGAAAGAGUUGAUGGAUAGAAUGGUAGCAAGUUUACCAAACUGUCACCUCGCAAGUCCCUGGUUGACAUACAAUAGCAUGUUAG